GCAGGUGAGUUGUUACACACUCCUUAGUGGAUUCCGACUUCCAUGACCACCGUACUGCUUUCAUCCACAUAA
Vicugna pacos (alpaca) is the source of this 72-nucleotide non-coding RNA. NCBI's taxonomy places the organism in Eukaryota, Metazoa, Chordata, Mammalia, Artiodactyla, Camelidae. The record is from RefSeq and is a predicted model, not a curated record.